Molecule: non-coding RNA, 135 nt
Organism: Caenorhabditis elegans
Lineage: Eukaryota; Metazoa; Nematoda; Chromadorea; Rhabditida; Rhabditidae
Source: Ensembl
CGGAAAAUAGUGAAAGACCGACGAUCACAUCGGAAACGAAACAUUCGUGACGUCAUUUUGGUUUCUGUCUCGGAGAGGAGUCCCUUUCGAUUCGGUGUCCAGUCUCGUUCCCCCUCUCUCCGACGAUUGGAGGAG